Molecule: ribosomal RNA, 257 nt
Filed under: Capra hircus (goat)
Lineage: Eukaryota; Metazoa; Chordata; Mammalia; Artiodactyla; Bovidae
Description: partial large subunit ribosomal RNA
Source: RNAcentral
AAUUGACCUUCCCGUGAAGAGGCGGGAAUGAAUUAACAAGACGAGAAGACCCUAUGGAGCUUUAACUAACUAGUCCAAAAGAAAUAAAUUUAACCACCAAGGGAUAACAACAUCCUUUAUGGACUAGCAGUUUUGGUUGGGGUGACCUCGGAGAACAAGAGAUCCUCCGAGCGAUUUUAAAGACUAGACUUACAAGUCAAAUCAAAUUAUCGCUUAUUGAUCCAAAAAACUUGAUCAACGGAACAAGUUACCCUAGG